GCACGCCGUAUCCCUAUGAAAUUUUGCUUUGGAAGUAGGAAUUUAAUUUAUAGAAACUCAGGUUGAUGUAUGAAAAUCCGGGAAUUGUAACCCUAUUAAUGCAAUUUCGUUAAUCCCAUCCGUUUGAAUAUGAUCACAAAAAAACAUCGAUAGAAAAAUAGAAAAAACGAAAUUUAUUGGACUGAAAGAAUACGGAUUGAAUUAGGAAAAAGCAAAACACAAGCAGACGUUGAAACUCA
Molecule: long non-coding RNA, 239 nt
Filed under: Mytilus galloprovincialis (Mediterranean mussel)
Lineage: Eukaryota; Metazoa; Mollusca; Bivalvia; Mytilida; Mytilidae
Source: RNAcentral